CCUAAAUUUUCCAUAGCAAACUGCUCAGUAACACAUGAUCAACUUACCCUAUAGAGAAAAAUAACCUCGGGAAACUGAGGAUAAUGUUUCAUAGUUGAAAAGGCUUGGAAAAGUUUUUCAAUAAAAAGGAUAAGAAAAAUGGUUCUUAUCCGCUAUAGGAUAGGAUCGUGGUCGAUUAUGGUUGUUGGUGAGGUAAUGGCUCACCAAGCCGAUAAUCGAUAGGGGCCGUGAGAGCGGGAGCCCCGAGAUGGGUACUGAGACAACGACCCAGGCCUUACGAGGCGCAGCAGGCGCGAAACCUCAGCAAUACACGAAAGUGUGACUGGGUUACCCAAAGUGUUCAGUUUUGAACUGUGGUAGGUGAGUAAUGUCCCCUACUAGAAAGGAGAGGGCAAGGCUGGUGCCAGCCGCCGCGGUAAAACCAGCUCUUCAAGUGGUCGGGAUAAUUAUUGGGCUUAAAGUGUCCGUAGCCUGUUUAGUAAGUUCCUGGUAAAAUCGGGUAGCUUAACUAUCUGUAUGCUAGGAAUACUGCUAAACUAGAGGGCGGGAGAGGUCUGAGGUACUACAGGGGUAGGGGUGAAAUCUUAUAAUCCUUGUAGGACCACCAGUGGCGAAGGCGUCAGACUGGAACGUGCCUGACGGUGAGGGACGAAAGCCAGGGGAGCGAACCGGAUUAGAUACCCGGGUAGUCCUGGCCGUAAACGAUGCAUACUAGGUGAUGGCAUGGCCAUGAGCCGUGUCAGUGCCGUAGGGAAACCGUUAAGUAUGCCGCCUGGGAAGUACGGUCGCAAGGCUAAAACUUAAAGGAAUUGGCGGGGGAGCACCACAAGGGGUGAAGCCUGCGGUUCAAUUGGA
RNAcentral lists this ribosomal RNA (855 nucleotides) under uncultured archaeon. Its description in RNAcentral is "bacterial SSU rRNA". It matches the Rfam family "Archaeal small subunit ribosomal RNA", at positions 67 to 910 of the family's 1478-position model. The record is from RNAcentral.